AGAUUGAACGCUGGCGGCAUGCCUUACACAUGCAAGUCGAACGGCAGCACGGGAGCAAUCCUGGUGGCGAGUGGCGAACGGGUGAGUAAUACAUCGGAACGUGCCCAAUCGUGGGGGAUAACGCAGCGAAAGCUGUGCUAAUACCGCAUAAGAUCUACGGAUGAAAGCAGGGGAUCGCAAGACCUUGCGCGAAUGGAGCGGCCGAUGGCAGAUUAGGUAGUUGGUGAGGUAAAGGCUCACCAAGCCUUCGAUCUGUAGCUGGUCUGAGAGGACGACCAGCCGCACUGGGACUGAGACGACGGCCCAGACUCCUACGGAGGCAGCAGUGGGGAUUUUGGACAAUGGGCGAAAGCCUGAUCCAGCCAUGCCGCGUGCAGAUGAAGGCCGUUCGGUUGUAAACUGUCUUUGUACGGAACGUAAAGU
This 423-nucleotide ribosomal RNA is filed under the name uncultured soil bacterium. Its description in RNAcentral is "bacterial SSU rRNA". It matches the Rfam family "Bacterial small subunit ribosomal RNA", at positions 26 to 453 of the family's 1533-position model. The record is from RNAcentral.